UACCAGCACCCCGAGUGGUCGGGACGAUUAUUGGGCCUAAAGCAUCCGUAGCCGGUUUUACAAGUCCUCCGUUAAAUCCAGCUGCUUAACAGAUGGGCUGCGGAGGAUACUAUAAGACUAGGAGGCAGGAGAGGCAAGCGGUACUCAGUGGGUAGGGGUAAAAUCCGUUGAUCCAUUGAAGACCACCAGUGGCGAAGGCGGCUUGCCAGAAUGCGCUCGACGGUGAGGGAUGAGAGCUGGGGGAGCAAACCGG
This 253-nucleotide ribosomal RNA is filed under the name uncultured bacterium. RNAcentral describes it as "partial 16S ribosomal RNA". It matches the Rfam family "Archaeal small subunit ribosomal RNA", at positions 474 to 727 of the family's 1478-position model. The record is from RNAcentral.